This 313-nucleotide unclassified non-coding RNA is filed under the name Hevea brasiliensis (rubber tree). Lineage: Eukaryota; Viridiplantae; Streptophyta; Magnoliopsida; Malpighiales; Euphorbiaceae. The record is from RNAcentral.
AUUUACAUCCUAUAUACCAUAUCAGAAUAUCUUGAAACUGGAUUAUCCAUUCGUGCAUGGUGGAAUAGACAGAGAAUGACAAUAAUAACCUCAACAAGUGCAUGGUUAUUUGCAAUUUUAAGUGUAAUAUUGAAGAUCCUAGGCAUUUCAGAGACAGUAUUUGAAAUUACUCGAAAAGAAGAAUCCACUUUCACUGAUGAUGGUGAUGCUGGUAGGUUCACCUUUGACGGGUCACCCAUUUUUUUGCCUGGAACAACUAUUUUGAUGGUACAAUUUCUUGCACUGGUUAUGGGUUUAUUGUCGGUGCGUGAUG